This 410-nucleotide ribosomal RNA is filed under the name bacterium 14S521. RNAcentral describes it as "bacterial SSU rRNA". It matches the Rfam family "Bacterial small subunit ribosomal RNA", at positions 1049 to 1457 of the family's 1533-position model. The record is from RNAcentral.
CAGGCGGGACCACUCGUGUUGUGAAAUGUUGGGUUAAGUCCCGCAACGAGCGCAACCCUUAUCCUUUGUUGCCAGCGGUUCGGCCGGGAACUCAAAGGAGACUGCCAGUGAUAAACUGGAGGAAGGUGGGGAUGACGUCAAGUCAUCAUGGCCCUUACGAGUAGGGCUACACACGUGCUACAAUGGCGUAUACAAAGAGAAGCGACCUCGCGAGAGCAAGCGGACCUCAUAAAGUACGUCGUAGUCCGGAUUGGAGUCUGCAACUCGACUCCAUGAAGUCGGAAUCGCUAGUAAUCGUAGAUCAGAAUGCUACGGUGAAUACGUUCCCGGGCCUUGUACACACCGCCCGUCACACCAUGGGAGUGGGUUGCAAAAGAAGUAGGUAGCUUAACCUUCGGGAGGGCGCGUAC